RNAcentral lists this unclassified non-coding RNA (200 nucleotides) under soil metagenome. RNAcentral's name for it is "partial contains internal transcribed spacer 2 and large subunit ribosomal RNA". The record is from RNAcentral.
UUUCUGAGUCGUGCGUGCGUGAGCGCGCUGACUUGAAUACCACUGAAUCGGGUCUAUGACCACACCCCUCUGUCUGGUGUUUUGACGUGAUAAUAACAUUUUCUCGUCAGUCCUAUCCAAACACGGGUCCGUAGACCUAAUCACACACAUAUCAUCACUCUCUUGAUCUCAAAUUAGGUAGGACUACCCGCUGAACUUAA